RNAcentral lists this long non-coding RNA (8779 nucleotides) under Theobroma cacao (cacao). RNAcentral describes it as "long non-coding RNA (TCAC_LNC004557)". Lineage: Eukaryota; Viridiplantae; Streptophyta; Magnoliopsida; Malvales; Malvaceae. The record is from RNAcentral.
UUUCAGUGCAAUACAGUCCUUUCAUCAAAUAUCUCGGAUAUGUCAUAAAGCAUGGCUCAGUGUCUACUUAUAACGUUUAAUAUUAGUUCUCAUAAUUCAUGACUAACCUUAUGAAUUUACGAAACUAACUUUUCUCAAAUUCAUCAUGCUUUGGCUAGAGACUUUAUACAAGUUAAUCAAGAAUUGAGAACAAGUGACAUACAUCCCCUCAUAUCACUUAGGGUGAUGAAUCCUCUAUUGACCACUCAUUCACCUUCACAUGCUUCGUAGCAUACCCAAAAACACCCUGUUUAGGCAUCUGGUCACCUCCAAACCUGUCAAGGUUAAAUCAAAGAAUGUAAUUCCCUAUACAAGAUGACCUAGUGUCUCAAGUGUGAGGACUAGUUGCACGACUAUCACAUGAGAACAUAUUCCAUAAACACUUGAGUGAAAUACUAAAUAGAGUUCUCAUAGUGGGUCAUGUUUAGUGAACUUGUUCUUUAACAAGCAUUUGCAUAUUAUCCUUGAGUAUCCCAUAUACUUCAAUCUAUGAGAUCGAUUGCUUACUUCCUAAGUGAGGAGGCUUAACAUGUACUAGUCUUUGAACAUUGUUAAUAUCCUGUCUUGACAAUACAAUGACCAAGACCAAUUUUAGGAACAUGGCUUUAAUGCAUAGUGAUCUCAUAAUUGUAACAACCUUACAAUUCUCUUAUGAGGCCUUUAUGUUCCAUGGGCUUCAUUCAAUUAGUACUUAACUCCUUAUUAUUGCACUAACAUGAAGGAAAACCUAUAUCAUAUAUAGUUAUGCGAUUAAGUAUGCAUUAAAUGACAAUAUAUAUUCCUUGACUAAUUCAAUUGGCUCAAGGGCAUAAACCAACACAAACAAGUGAAAUAAGAUGUAUUAAGAGUAAUACAGAGGAAAGUUAGAACAGACCUCGAAGUAUAAGUGUAUGGUAAGUGAUAAAACAAGAUCUAAAAAAUAAGAAAUAGGAAGAAGGAAUGAAGAAAGAGAAGAUUACAGAGAGAACGUGAAAACUUGUGAAAUAUUUACAGUAGGACAGAGUUAACCUAUUUUUGUUGGGGGUUAAAGAUGAAAAGGAAUAAAGAUUAAAAAUUUUGAAAACUAAUAUGUUAAACUUAAUCAACAAUUAAAAUAUUCAUAAUAAAUAAAUAAUUUUCUUUAAUAUGUAAAUCAAAAGGAAUAAGAAAAGAAAGACUUACAAUAACAUUUUAAGAAAGUUGUGCUCGAUGAUAUUUCCCAGACUCAAAUUCAUCAAUUUUUGAUUUUGUAUUGAAAAGGUUAGCAAUGUCUUUCUCAAUAUAAACAAUUAAAUUAUCAACAAGAAUCUUAUUGUCUAUUUCGUUUUAGAGUCUUAUUUUCACAAUUUUCAUUGUUUAAAAAAACUCUUUUAUAGUUGUUGUAGAAACCAAAAGAAUCAAAACAAGGCAAAUUAAUCUAUUAAUGAAAAUUAAUAAAAAAACUGAUAUAUUAAUGAAAUUUUAAGCAACAGCUUACUGUGUAAUCCUAAAAUUUAUAUUAAGAAGUACAUAAUAAUUUUUUAAUCUUUAAAAAUUAAAAUCAUAAAAAAUAAAAUCCGCAUAACAGAAUAAUGAAAAAACAUAGCAAGUAGAAGAUAAAACUUGUUGGCUCCAUUGGUUUUUGAUGAUAAUAAAACAUUCCCAUUUCAUUCGUGUCUAACAUUUCUACCUAAGUGUGCAAGACAAAAAGUCAUAUGGAAAUAAUAAAUCAACCUUUCAAGUAUAUAUCAAAAAUCAUGAAAAUGAAGAAAAACGAUUGAUCAACAAUAAGGAAGGUCUUUAGAUAAAUAAUGAAGAAUGUUGGUUGAUUAAAAUUUGAAUUGGAGAAAUGGCGGGUUGAAGAAUAUUGAGAAACAGAACCAAUUUAGUCAACCAAGAUAAGAGUUAGUCGACAAACAAGCUAUUGCCAAAAUCUAGACUUCAAGACAGAACCAACUUAUUCAACCAAGAAGAAAGUUAAUCGACUAAAUGCUCUUUGCUAGAUUCUGUGACCAGAAGACAAAACCAACUUAGUCCACCAAGAAGAAAGUUAGUGGACUAAGAGCUCUUUAUCUCCAAUUUGAACCAAAGCACUAAAAGACAGAUUAACAGCUAGCACCUACUCUCAACUGUUUUCGAUAACCAUAAACUGCCAAACUACCAUCAGAGGUGUUUCUCCUAGUAUAAAAGGGUCUUCCAACGGUUAGAAAUCAGUUCUUGGAAGUUUUGAAAAGAUUUGAGUCAUAUAGAGCUGAAAAACAAGAAAAUCUCCUUUGCACCUUUCUGCACUUAAACGCCAAUCUUUUGUAUUUGUAUUCUGCACUCAACAUUGUUCCAUUUAGAUCAACCUUGUGAUCAUAGGUACUUUCUUUUACUUCUCUUCUUGCAUUCUUAGAGUGAGGGGGUCACUCUAAGUGGUUGUUUCAAGCUAGGUUUGCUUGAAUGUGUUAAGGUUCUAACAUAGCCUUGAAAAGUUAGGUGUUGGGUUUUAGUUUAGCCCGUGAAAAACUAGUGUAAAAGGUUUGGCUGAGCCUGUUAAAAGCCAUUGUAAAGCUUGGUGAAAGCUUGUAAAUUUCAUCAGUUUUUAGUGGAUUGUUUAGAGAAUCCUUGGUUGGAUAAUCAAGGUAGUGGAUGCAGGUCUUAGACUGAACCACUCUAAAUUCUUCUAUUUCGUUUACUAUGUUUUUGUUUUGUUUUCUUUAUUUCAUUUAUCUUGCAUUUGUCUACACUUAGAGACAAUUUUUGAAAGAGCCAAAUUUGUGCUAUUCACCCCCUCUCUAGCACAUAUUAUUGGGACCAACAAGUGGUAUCAAAGCUAGUUCCCUAUUAUUAAAGUUUAACACUCUUUAGGAGGAUCCAAAUGGCUUAACUAAAAUCAGUAGUUGCUGAGGGAUAAUCAACAAACAUACCACCUCUGUUUGAUGCCUCUAAUUAUCCUUAUUGGAUCACUAGAAUGUCAAUUUACAUUAGAGCUAUAAAUUAUGAAAUGUGGGACGUCAUAACUGAUGGACCCUUUAUUCCCUUAACUUUGAAUGUAGUAACAAUUCAGUUGAUGCCAAAGCCAAGGUCUAAAUGGACUAAGGUUGAAACUAAGAAAGUCCAAACAAAUUUUAAGGCCAUCAACACAUUGCAUUGUGCUUUGACCCCCACUAAAUUCAACAAAGUCUCUAGUUGUACAACAGCUAAACAAGUGUGGGAUAAACUUAGAAUAAUCCAUGAAGGGGCUUUUCAAGUCAAGGAGUCCAAAAUAGCCCUCUUGACACAUAACUAUGAAAUGUUUAAAAUAGAGCCUGGUGAAGAUAUCAUCAGCAUGUUAGAUAGAUUUACAAAUAUCACAAAUAAAUUGAGUCAGCUAGGCAAACUAAUACCCAAGCAUGAAAUAGUUAAAAGACUUCUUAGAAGCCUACAAAAAAAUUAGAAGCCUAAAGUGACUGCAACCCGAGAGGCCAAGGACCUAAAUGUUAUUACCUUAGAUGAGAUUUGUGGUUCUCUCCUUACUUAUGAGCUAGAGCUUAAAGAGGAAGAAGAAAAAGAUAUGAGGGAAGCAAAGGAAAAGAGAAAGAGACUUGCACUUAAAGCCAGCAUUCUUGAAGAAGAGUUAGAAGAGCUGUCAUGUGAUGAUGAUGAAGAGUUAGCUCUGGUUGUAAGAAAAUUCAUAAAGCUUAUGGGCAGAAGAAAUCGGAGACUAGCUAGAAGAGGGUUUAGAAAAGAUCAAAGUGUUUCAUGGAAAAUCAAAAACAAAAAUGACUCCAAUAAAAAGGAGGAGCUGAUCUGCUAUGAAUGAAAUAAACUUGGCCACUUCAAGUCCGAAUGUCCAUUGUUGAAAGAUGAGACUCCAAAGAAAAACAAGAAAUCCAAGAAAGUAAUGGUAGCAGCUGCAUGGUUGGACAGUGACACAUCAAGCUCUGAAGCUGAAGAUAAAAAAUCUAAGGAAAGAGCAAACCUCUGUCUGAUGGCACAAGAUGAUGAAAUUGAGGUAUCUUCAUCCCCCUAUGAUAUUUCCAUUGAUGAUUUACAAAAUGAGUAUGACAGCCUUUAUGAUGAAUUUGAGAAUCUCUUUUUAAAAUACAAGACUUUAAAGAAAAAGGCUACAUCUCUUGAAAAUGAUUUGGAAAAGAUGAUACUAGAGUUCAACUCUGUUUUUGAGCAAAGAAAUUAUCUGCAAAUUGAAUUAGAACGUUCAAAAACAGAUUUUGAAAAUCUACAAUUGGAGUUGAAAAAUAGAACAGAUGCUUUACAAGCUGUAGUUGCUGAAAAUACUACUUUUAAAAAUUUAAGAAAAUAAUCAUCAAGAAAGAGCAUAAAUUUCAGAAAGAAUGCUAAUGAUUUCUCCCUUAGAUGUUAUAGUUGUGGAAAACAUGGACACUUAUCAUAUGAUUGCUUCAAGAAAAGUAACCUAUAGAAAGUUAGAAAAAUUUAGGUUCCAAAAGGAUCUUAUAUUGCCACUAACACUCAAGGACCCAUCAAAGUAUGGGUACCUAUAAAAAAACUGAAAAUCUAUUUUAUAGGUUGAACUGCACUUAAAUGAGACAUGUUCAAGAGCUCAACUCAAGAAGAAGCAGCCUUGGUACAUGGACAGUGACUACUGACAGCACAUGACUGGAGAUGAAUUGUUAUUUGUUUAGUUAGACAAAAGGAAAGGAGGUACCGUGUCCUUUGGUGAUGAUUCAAAAGGUAGAAUUCAUGGUAUAGGAACGGUUGGUAAGAACUCCCAAACUCAAAUUAGUCAUGUGUUGUUAGUUAAGGGUUUGAAGCAUAAUUUAUUGAGCAUUAGUCAAUUAUAUGACAAAGAAUUUGAAGUAUGUUUUGAUUCAAAUAAGUGUGAAGUAAUAGACAUAGAUACAAACAAAGUCUUAUUCAUAGGAAAGAGAUUGAAAAAUAUGUUUGUUGUUUUUCUUGAGGAUCUUGAAAUUAAUAGUGAAAUAUGUCUUGUUGCAAAUGCUAAAAAUGAUAGCUAGUUAUGGCAUAGGAGAUUAGGACAUGUAAGCUUGCAUACUAUGUCAAAAUUGAUUAAAAAGAACUUAGUUGUUGGGCUGCCAGAUUUAAAAUUUGAAAAUGAUAAAAUAUGUGAUGCUUGCCAACUAGGAAGAAAAGUUAGAACAUCCUUUAAAGCUAAGAAAGUUGUGUCAACAUCUAAACCUCUUGAAUUGUUACACAUUGAUUUAUUUGGUUCAAAAAGCACAAUUAGUUUAGGAGGAAAAUCUUAUGGCUUUGUUAUAGUUGAUGAUUAUUUUAGGUACACUUGGGUUUAUUUUCUUGCUCAUAAGAAUGAUGCUCUAUCAGCUUUUAUAAGUCAUUGUAGGAAAGUAGAGAAUGAAAAAGGACUAGCCAUAGUUAGCAUAAGGAGUGAUCAUGGAGGAGAAUUUAAAAGUGAUGAAUUUAAGAAGUCUUACAAUGAAAAGGGAUUGGAUCAUAAUUUUUCUACACCCAGAACACCCCAGCAAAAUGGAGUUGUAGAGAGGAAAAACCGAACCUUAAAAGAAAUGGCUAGAACUAUACUGUGUGAGAAUAACCUACCAAAAUAUUUUUGGGCUAAGGCAGUGAACACAACAACUUAUAUACUUAGUAGAGUAUCAAUUAGAGCCAUGAUUUCAAAGACUCCAUACAAACUUUACAAGGGUAGGAAACCAAAUAUUUCUCACCUUAAGAGUUUUGGUUGUAAAUGUUUUGUAUUGAAUAAUGGAAAACAACCCUUAGGAAAGUUUGAUGGAAAGAGUGACGAAGCAAUAUGUCACGACCUAGUACUCUCCUCGAGCCCGUGACAACCGUCGUAAUGUCCCGAUAGACAUUCAUCGCUCGGAAUGUUGACCGAAACCUCGCAAGGCUUUAAUAUCAGUUUUCUCACCUCCCCUGUGAGCGACAGUUGUUAGAUAUCAUGUUUUGAGAGAUUAUAUACUAUUUCUAAAUCAAAAUAAUAGAAAAAUAAUUUUUGUCUUAUAGGGGCAUUUUCAUCAUUUUUUCUCAAAAAUCUCGAAACCAGCUAAAGAUGUAUGCGAGUGUAUUUCAUAAUAAAAAAUAAGUCUAGAUGUCUAAACAUUCAUUUAAAGUGAAACUAUAAUUAUUUGAAUAUAAUAAAAAUAUUCAAUAAAAUAUUCUAUUUUCUUAUAAAACAAUAUUUAUAGAGUUAUCGAAAAAUAAUUUUUGUAGCGUAAAAGCUAAAUAAAUUCAUACAUACUGUGAUACAGAUAACCAAAGUAUAACAUUUAAUUUACAGUGACACAUGGGCCCACGAACGACCAAAAGUAUCAAAAGCGGUAAACCUACAGUUUUUCGGGAUGCAAGUCCAAUUGUAGCCCUUAACGAAAUGAGCUAUCUACCGACUAUCUUGAGCCUAAAAUGGGUGGAAAGGAGGGUGAUGAGAUUAUAAAAUCUCAAUGAGUAAACAAACAUCAUCUAAAUCAGCAAAAGCUGAGUAAUAGGAGACAAUCAAAAUAUCCCAUCACAAUACGUAUUUUUCAACUUGAAAAUUCAUUCUAACCCAUGCAACUGAUUGUAUUUCGUUUAAUUUCUCAAUAAGGCUUAUGUCACGACCCGGAACUCCCCAUCAGGCCCGUGACAACUGCUGCGAAGCCUCGACAAACAUUCUUCUCCCUGAAUGCUGAUCAAAACCUCAUAAGGCUCUCGUAUCAGCUUUUGCACUUCCCCGUUGAGCAAUAGUUAUCAAAUAUCGUAAUUCGAAAGAUUUCGAGUCAUUUCCAAACCGGAACAUAACAUAUUGUUUUCUGGCUCACAGAGGCAUUUUCGCUAUUUUUCAUCAAAAAUCUCAAAACUUGCUAAAAAUGUAGUAGGUAAGCAGAAAAUAUAUAUUUAGUGAUUUAAAAACAAAUUAAGUAUCUAAAACGUUCAUUUGAAGUGAAAAUUUGACCAUUUGAAUAUAAUAAAAAUAUUCAAUAAAAUAAACUAUUUUCUUGUAAAAUAAUUUUUAUAAAGCUAUCGGUAAAUAAUUCUUAUAGAAAAAAGUUAUUUAUAUUCAUAUAUACUAUAAAGCAAAUAACCAAAGCAUAAAAUUACUUUUACAGCGACACGUGGGCACACAUCUAACCAAAAUGCAUCGGAAGCUGAAAACCUACAGCUUUUACCGAUUCAAGUCCAAAUGAAGGCCCUUGUCAAAGUCAACUAACUAUGAAAUUCCCUGAGCCUGAAAUGUAAGGAAAUGAGGGUGGUGAGAUUAUAAAAUCCCAAUGAGUAAACAGACACCAUCUAAACUAUGCAAAUAAAUGGAGACGAAUUUAAAAUAUUCUUUUCCAAUAUAUGUUUUAUAACAUGAAUAUUCAGUUUACUCAAUUAAUCAACAUGGCUUAUAUAUCUCACAAAACUUGGCUCCUGCCAAAAUCAUUCUUGGGGAUGCCUUGGCCUAGGCAUUUGACCGAGACCACCAAGGCUGUUAAAUGUCUUUACAUCCAAAAUUCUAGCCAUGCCUUGGCGUUGGCUGAGUCUCACUCUCAUGCGGUGGUCCACGUGAAGUGCACUCAAAUCUUUACCUCCAGAGACACCCUCCACACAGCUCUUCGAUCGAGGUAAGGUAUACCUGAUUCUAUGCCCCCUCUUUUAGGCUGGUCCACAAAACCUCAUAUGCAGGGAUUAUGGAUUAUUUUAUCCACCACCUGAUUUAUAAAAUCUUUAUCUGCAUGACAUGGCAAUUUAUUGCAAUCUAGCCUCUCAAGGCUGAAUACAUAGUAUAUAUAAUUUUGAUACAAAUACCGACUUUGCCAUUCAUGCUCACAUAUUGCUAUAAGCCAUAUAAUUAAAAACACAAUUUAUAACACAAGCAAGCAGUCUCCAACUACUCUAAUUUCAAAACCAGUAUUCAAUUUUUCUAGAAAAUUUAUAAAAUCAUUUUAUAAAAUCACAAUUUCUCCUAAAACAUAGCAAUUUACCAUUUAAACCCAUUUUCUAUAAAAUCACACAAUUGAAUAAAACCACUCUAAAUAAUUAUGACGAUAAUAAGUUUACUCACAGUUCUAGGAGUCAAUGUCCUCCUAAUCCCAGUCUUCAAGUACAAUCUCUGUACUUUUACCAGUGUAAUUUGCUCACCACUUAUCCACAAUGUACAAUACAUAAUUCACCACAUUAAUGCUUGACCAUUAUAAAAUCAAUUCAGGCUCGGUGUAUAUGUAUGAUAUGAUAUGCAACUUAUCCGACUAUCGCUUAAAUGCGGUGUUGACCUAAUUCGGCCUAUUACCCGAUUAAAUGAAAAUUGUGUCUGAUUUGUUUCCAAAUUGCUCCAUUUCAUUUCUAAUAUUUCAAUUCACUAAAUACCAUUCCAAUAAUCUAAAAUUCAGCCUAACAACCCUCAAAAUUCUUCUUGAAAAUUUUGGCCAUUGUGGUGCACUAUCACUAAAAAUUUUCCCAUUCCAUUUUCUCACCAUAAAUCAUCAUUUCAUCAAUUUUUCAACCAAUUCACUUGAUCACAAAAUCAAUUCAUUACUUCUACACUUCACAUAGAGUUCAACCAUUGAAGGUUCAUGGGGAAAAUGGAUUUUUUUCUUGUUGUUUUGUUUCUAAACAUACUUAACAAACUCUAAACACCAACAUAACUCAAAAUCAAACAAUUGCAACAUCAUUUCUCUAACCAAACCCAUUCGGCCUACCACUUAUUCACUAUGAAAUCAUGCUUCUCAACCAUAGAAAUAAGAAAAUAAAGCAUGGGUAUUGUAAAUCUCAAGUAAAAAUAAAGAAUUUUCACUUUACCUUGCUUAAUUCCUUGGAUUUUCACACUUUCUCUUCAAUUUUCCCCACCUAGGGUUUGUGUUCUUUCCUUUCCUGUUCACUUCAUGCUUUG